RNAcentral lists this ribosomal RNA (490 nucleotides) under uncultured bacterium. RNAcentral describes it as "partial 16S ribosomal RNA". It matches the Rfam family "Bacterial small subunit ribosomal RNA", at positions 30 to 507 of the family's 1533-position model. The record is from RNAcentral.
AUUGAACGCUGGCGGCAUGCUUUACACAUGCAAGUCGAACGGCAGCACGAAAGAGCUUGCUCUUUUGGUGGCGAGUGGCGAACGGGUGAGUAAUGCAUCGGAACGUACCGAGUAAUGGGGGAUAACUGUCCGAAAGGAUAGCUAAUACCGCAUACGCUUUGAGAAGGAAAGUGGGGGCUCUUCGGACCUCACGUUAUUCGAGUGGCCGAUGUCUGAUUAGCUAGUUGGUGGGGUAAAGGCCUACCAAGGCGACGAUCAGUAGCGGGUCUGAGAGGAUGAUCCGCCACACUGGGACUGAGACACGGCCCAGACUCCUACGGGAGGCAGCAGUGGGGAAUUUUGGACAAUGGGCGCAAGCCUGAUCCAGCCAUGCCGCGUGUCUGAAGAAGGCCUUCGGGUUGUAAAGGACUUUUGUUAGGGAAGAAAAGGAUAGUGUUAAUACCAUGAUCUGCUGACGGUACCUAAAGAAUAAGCACCGGCUAACUACGUG